Triticum aestivum (bread wheat) is the source of this 134-nucleotide non-coding RNA. NCBI's taxonomy places the organism in Eukaryota, Viridiplantae, Streptophyta, Magnoliopsida, Poales, Poaceae. The record is from Rfam.
GUAGUAUUCCCUCCGUCCGAAAUUCUUGUCUUACAUUUGUUUAGAUACGGAUGUAUCUAACACUAAAAUGUAACUAGAUACAUCCGUAUUUAGACAAAUUCAAGACAAGAAUUUUUGGACGGAGGGAGUACAAA